Long non-coding RNA from Etheostoma spectabile (orangethroat darter), 494 nucleotides. RefSeq lists it as uncharacterized. The transcript is spliced from 3 exons. NCBI's taxonomy places the organism in Eukaryota, Metazoa, Chordata, Actinopteri, Perciformes, Percidae. The record is from RefSeq and is a predicted model, not a curated record.
GGAUGGCCUUCUGCCAGUUAGGCCUGGCUCCGAGUGCUGCAGUGUCAACACUGAAGAGUGAGCGCCAGAGGGGUGAUGAUGUUCUUGGCUGGAAGACUCUAAGGCUAAUAGAACAAGGCCUUUUUAUGAGCCUGCCAGGAAUCUCUCUUCUGAAAGUGCCAGGAUAAAUUGCCGGAAAUUAGCCAUAAAAUUCACUGUGCAGGGAGUGUGAGGUGAAGGCCGCCGAGGAGCCAAGGACAUUGGGCCGCCGUGGUUACGCUUGGCCUGGCCUGCCUCCCCCAUGCUUGGCAUUCAUGGCUGUUAAAGACCUCUGCUCAGACAGAUACACUGAAGCCUCGAGUAGCACUCAGCACAUCAGGAAGAUCAGCCAAGCAAGUGUUACACUAACGGCCACGGUUUCAUGGUCUAGUAACAUGACAGAUUUUCAGCAGAGGGUAGCUGAUCGUUUUUUUUUUUCUCUUUCCAAAUUUUAGAUUGAUAUCCACUGUAUUAUU